Molecule: ribosomal RNA, 413 nt
Filed under: uncultured Methanosaeta sp.
Lineage: Archaea; Methanobacteriati; Methanobacteriota; Methanomicrobia; Methanotrichales; Methanotrichaceae
Description: bacterial SSU rRNA
Rfam family: Archaeal small subunit ribosomal RNA
Source: RNAcentral
UCUCACCGGGGCGACAGCAAUAUGAAGGUCAGGCUGAAGACCUUACCCGAUUAGCUGAGAGGUGGUGCAUGGCCGUCGUCAGUUCGUACUGUGAAGCAUCCUGUUAAGUCAGGCAACGAGCGAGACCCACGUCCACAGUUGCCAGCAUACCCUCCGGGGUGAUGGGUACACUGUGGAGACCGCCGCUGCUAAAGCGGAGGAAGGAGUGGGCAACGGUAGGUCAGUAUGCCCCGAAUCUCCCGGGCUACACGCGGGCUACAAUGGUUGGUACAAUGGGCAUCUACCCCGAAAGGGGAAGGAAAUCUCUUAAAGCCAAUCGUAGUUCGGAUUGAGGGCUGCAACUCGCCCUCAUGAAGCUGGAAUCCGUAGUAAUCGCGUUUCAACAGAACGCGGUGAAUACGUCCCUGCUCCUU